CUCAAUUUAUUUAAGAUAACGUCUUCAAUACUUAAUUACCUAACUCCAUGAGGUUGUUCCAGAGCACAAUCUUUAAUUUUUUUUUGCAAAGAACCUGCAAAAAUAAACUAUAAGUUUAUUGGCUGCCUGAAAAAUUAAUUGAUCAGCAUAUAUGAUAUACCUCAGGAUAAUAAAUUUUUUGUUCAGCAUGCACGUACAAAGAUUUAAUGAAAACUAGACAUCUCAAAUGUUAUUCUGUUUUUUUUCUCCCGAGUGAUUUUAUUCUAAUGUGUUUCUACAAUUGAUGUGUUAUUCAUUAAGUGAUAGUAAGAUGGUGUGAAUAAAAAUAGCAUUUGGUAUGUCAUGAACUGCUCGUAAAGAUUUAGAUAGAAGUGUGAGAUAUACAAACCAAAUGCAGAAUGGGAUAUGUUUCAGUGAGCUGCUUCUCCAGGUCUCCAUCCACAUUCUCAGAAUGCGCGUGAGCAUGAGGAUUAUACUCUUCUUGCACAGGAAUCCCUACAAAUACACAAAAGUAAAGAGAAAGGAAGGUUAGUCGGAAAACUAAGAUAGGCUAGAUUUAUUUUAAAUCAACUUAUAUUAUUGUAAGCUUUGAGUCUAAAUGAUUUUACCGGUGAAAUUAUCCAAAAGACCUCAUUACAUUUUUUUUAAUUUUAAUAUCAGUCCACGUGUGUUAAACUAUGGGACUUAGAAUAUUUCAGUAUAACUAAUGAUAGAAUUUCUAAUCAAGUAAUACUAAAGUUACUAACUCUUUAUUUAAAUUAUUUUCAUAGAUUAAUGUAGCAUAAUAAUAUAUUUUAUUUUAAAUUAUUACAAUUUAAAGAU
Molecule: long non-coding RNA, 822 nt
Filed under: Citrus x clementina
Lineage: Eukaryota; Viridiplantae; Streptophyta; Magnoliopsida; Sapindales; Rutaceae
Description: Citrus clementina (C. clementina) long non-coding RNA (CCLE_LNC001351)
Source: RNAcentral